Molecule: long non-coding RNA, 422 nt
Organism: Nicotiana tabacum (common tobacco)
Lineage: Eukaryota; Viridiplantae; Streptophyta; Magnoliopsida; Solanales; Solanaceae
Source: RefSeq, a predicted model, not a curated record
CUUUCAUAAAGCGUGAAGUAACUUCAUAGAAUGGCAUUGUUAAAGCUUGGUUUCUUUUUAACUAUCCUUCUAAUGGCAGCAGCUACAAUCAAAGCUGCACCAAAUGUUGAUCUCGAUGUCUCAAAGAUGGAGAGAAGACUACUUCCACAACUUAAUACUUGUUUGAGAUCUUGUGAAAACAACGAUGGUUGCAGUGAUUGUUGGGUUUGCUGUACCUGCAAAGACUUUUUUGGAGCUAUUACAUUCAUGUGUCAGGCAUAAAUUUCAAAAGAGUAGUACGUUGAAAUCAUAUAACAAUAAACUCAGUAGCAAAUCUGUUUAAUGCAUUUAUGUUUUAGUGUGAUUUCAAUGUUUUUUUUUUCUUUUAUUUGUCGUCUUUAAUAAUUUUACGAAUAAUGAAGAAAGUGAGGUAUUACUUUCUA